Molecule: long non-coding RNA, 1040 nt
Filed under: Piliocolobus tephrosceles (Ugandan red Colobus)
Lineage: Eukaryota; Metazoa; Chordata; Mammalia; Primates; Cercopithecidae
Description: lncRNA (ENSPTEG00000010461.1)
Source: RNAcentral
AUAACCGCCAUUUCGAUUACGUGUUACCAGUUCACAUCGAUGUGGACCAAAUAAACAAUAUAAACAAAACAUGUAAAUAUAUAAGUGGUAAUAUAAACCCAGAUAUAUAUAACAAGAACACAAACAAUAAGUUAGUCAAAGUUGUUGGAGGUAAAUAUAAUUAUGAAAUGUCAAAAGAAAAUAGUACUACCAAAAUAUUAUGGGGUAACUCAACAAGCAGUAUAGUAGUAACGACAUUCAUAGGCUUAACGCAAAACCAAAUAACAAUGAAUAAAAAUACAGAAUAUGCACAAAUAAAUAUAAGAAUAAGAAAUAUACAAGGACAUCGUAAUGAAAGAGAAAAAAUGUUGGAAGAAGUAGUUGCUAAAACGUUUGAGCAGAUAAUCGAUAGGGGUUCAUAUAAAUUCCAACAGCUUAUUUUUCGAGUACAAAUAAUAAACGAAUAUACCUAUAUUCUAUCAAGCAUAAUAAACUCUAUUAUGUUAAAUUUGAUUUAUAAUAACAUAACGCUUAAUUAUGUAAUAUAUUCUAUAAACAUAGGCAUAGUAGAUAAAAACAGUUUUAAUAACUAUGUACAAAAAAAAUAUGCCACGUCCACUCAUGUUUCAGAGAAGGCGGCUAGCAGUUGCCAUGAUUUUAAACAAAGUGCAAUAGAACAAGCAAUAAAUAAAAAAGAAAAUGAUGACACUAGUAGCUUGGGAAGCAAAAACCAAACAAAACCAACUGAAAAGGAUGUACAACAUCCAAGUGAAUCACUCUAUGAGCAACAUAAAAAUACAUUCUUUUAUCAAUAUGAUAAUUUAUAUAUUCCUAAAAUUAUUUUAGACCCUCUAGACAUAGAAAUCGAGUUGUAUUGUAGUAGUGCCUUUUGUUAUAUUGUUGCACCCAGCUUUACUAAAAUAUUAUCAAACAUUUUGAUAAAAACUCAUACGGGUAUUUCGAAAGAAAUUAACGACCUGUGUAAAUCUUAUGCUUGUGAGAGUACGAAAGUGCUACAUGAGAAUGUUAAAAAAGGAUAUGCUAAUCAUUUAAAGCAAGUG